UUUUUAGGUCUACAAAACAACCAUAAAUCUUUUUCUUUUUAUAAUUUAUAUAUUUAUUAAACAGAGUCUUUACAAUAAAGACACCAUCUGAAGUCCUACUAUUCUUCUUAAAGCCUAGUUGAUGGUGACAUAUAUUAUUUUCAAAUAAAGUAAGUAAUCUACAAUUUAUAACCAUAUUAAAUAAUUUACUUAGACAGCUCAUCAGAGAAAUUCCUCUGUAGUUUGAAGGAUCAAGAUGAUCCCCACUUUUAAAUAAUGGAAUUAUAAAUGAUUUAUUCCAAUUUUCAGGAUAUAGAGAGGUAGAUAAUAUAAGGUUAAAAUAUUUAGCUAUGGCUGUUAACAUUACAGAACUACUAUGUUUUAUAAUUUCAUAACAUAUUUUAUCUGGUCCACAACUUUUCCCACUUUUUAAUCUUUUAAUUUGUGUUUUUAUUUCAGAUAUAUUUAUUGGUGUAUCACUUUCUUUUGAUGUUAGCAACUUCUCUGUUUUGCAUAAUUCUUCAAAAAUACUUUUCUCAAAAUUCUUAUCUAUCUUUUCAGGUUUACACUGAUUUUUAAAGUGAUCUGCAAACUGACUUAAAUCUAGCAUAUUAUCAUCAUUCUUGUCCUUAUUAAUUUUUAUUGUUCUUAAUAGUUUCCAAAAUUCCUUGCUUUCAUUUGGUGACAUGUUGUCUAGUUUAUUCAGAACAUUAAGUUUAAAUUCUCUUUUUUUAAGUUUAGAAACUGUUUUUA
RNAcentral lists this long non-coding RNA (732 nucleotides) under Mytilus galloprovincialis (Mediterranean mussel). Lineage: Eukaryota; Metazoa; Mollusca; Bivalvia; Mytilida; Mytilidae. The record is from RNAcentral.